UCCCAGUGGAGUCUCUCGACUGAAAAAGUGAACGCACUAUCAAGCUACACAUAGUAGUCAAACUUUUCCGCUUUUGGUUUUGGAUCCCCAACGUAUCUUCCAGGUUUAGAGAAAGUGGAGAGCCGGAGCGUUUUCGAGAGCGAGAAAGUGCGGCGGAGCGGAGGGAGGUUCGGGGCCAGAAGUUGCACUCAUUUUUACUAUGGGUUAGACAGUAGGAAAAUCAGUGACGAGCGUUCGAGUUUGCGAAAAUUUGAAGUGAAAUUGGAGAUUCGGGAGCUGAAAUUUGGUUCGGAGAGUGAGAAUUUGUGAGUGUGAGAAGGUUUUCGAGUGGUUGGGUGCAACUAACAGCGUCAUCUCUCCUGCGACAGGUUUUUAACGAUGAAUCAAUCGAGAGGCUCACCUUCGGAUUUGAAGGCCAGCGGCAGCCGCUCCGGUGACUUGGACGGCGAGUCCUCGUCCAGUCCGUUUUAUAUUGCCAGAACUAAGGAUGCUCCGGUCCAUCGCCUCAAGCGCUGGAGGCAUGCGGCACUUGUGCUGAAUGCUUCUCGUCGAUUCCGGUACACCUUAGACUUGAAAAAGGAAGAAGAAAAGCAGCAUACACUAAGGAAGAUUAAAGCACAUGCACAAGCCAUACGAGCUGCAUAUCUUUUCAAGGAAGCUGCAGAUCAACAAGUGAAUGGGAUUGUAGUACCGAAACCAAGUCCUACUGGCGAUUUUCCCAUUGGACAAGAGGAACUAGUUUCAGUGACGAGGGAUCAUAAAUUUGCUGCUCUUCAACAAUAUGGGGGGGUCACAGGCUUAGGGGACUUGUUGAAAACAAAUCUCGACAAGGGAAUUCAUGGAGAUGAUAUUGAUUUACUAAAACGGAAAAAUGCAUUUGGGUCGAACACAUAUCCUCGGAAAAAGCAAGAAGUUUCUGGAGAUUUCUUUGGGUAGCUUGUCAAGAUCUUACUCUGAUCAUAUUGAUGGUAGCUGCAAUGGCUUCUUUAGCGCUGGGUAUAAAAACAGAGGGUACAGAGGAGGGAUGGUCUGAUGGGGGCUGCAUUGCUUUUGCAGUUCUCCUUGUCAUUGUUGUCACAGCCGUUAGUGAUUACAGACAAUCUCUUCAGUUCCAGAAUCUAACUGAGGAAAAGAGAAAUAUACAUUUGGAGGUCAUUAGAGGUGGUAGACGUGUUAAGGUCUCAAUUUAUGAUCUUGUUGUUGGUGAUGUUGUACCCCUUAACAUCGGCGAUCAGGUCCCUGCUGACGGCAUUUUAAUAAUUGGACACUCACUUUUGAUAGAUGAGUCUAGUAUGACUGGAGAGAGCAAGAUUGUACGCAAGAACUCCAAAAAUCCAUUUCUAAUGUCGGGCUGCAAAGUAGCAGUUGGAAAUGGUAGCAUGCUGGUAACCAGUGUUGGGACUAAUACUGAAUGGGGAAUGCUCAUGGCUAGUAUUUCAGAAGAUACUGGUGAAGAAACUCCUUUGCAGGUGCGCUUAAACGGGGUUGCAACUUCCAUUGGUAUUGUUGGACUCACAGUGGCUUUACCUGUCUUGAUAGUCCUAUUGUUUAGUUACUUUAGUGGCCAUACAAAAAAUGCAAAUGGAAUCCCUCAGUUUCAAGUGGGAAAGACAAAAUUUGGAGAUGGCAUAGAUGGGGCCAUUAAAAUUGUUAUUAUUGCGGUGACCAUUGUCGUGGCUGGUGUUCCUGAAGGGCUCCCAUUAUCUGUUACCUUGACGCUUGCCUACUCGAUGAGAAAAUUGAUGGCAGAUAAGGCCUUGGUGCGGAGGCUGUCUGCAUGUGAAACCAUGGGCUUUGCAACCGCUAUAUGCUGCGACAAGACUGGAACCUUAACAUUGAACCAGAUGACUGUUGUUGAGGCUUUUACUGGUGGGAGGAAAAUCGAUCUCUCUGGCAGUAAGUCAGACGUGUCUCCAAUACUAUCAUCUUUGCUUAUUGAAGGCAUUUCAUUGAAUACAAAUGGCAGUGUAUAUACGUCUGAGACUGGCGGUGAUAUAGAGGUUUCUGGAUCACCAACUGAAAAGGCAAUUCUGCAAUUGGGAAUCAAGCUCGGAAUGAAUUUUGAUGCCAUCAGGUCCAAGUCUUCAAUUCUUCACGUGUUCCCAUUCAACUCAGAGAAAAAACGAGGUGGUGCUGCAGUUAAAUUGCCCAAUACCGAAGUUCAUAUUCACUGGAAAGGGGCUGCUGAAAUAGUCUUGGCCUGUUGUACAAAGUACCUGGAUCCUAAUGACCAGUUAGCAGCUAUGGAUGAAGACAAGUCAACCAUGUUCAGGAAGUCAAUUGAGGAUAUGGCUGCCCGCAGUUUGCGUUGUGUUGCCAUUGCUUAUAGACCACAUGAAUUGGAAAAUGUUCCAGCUGAUGAACAACUAUCUGAGUGGGCAUUGCCUGAUGAUGAUCUUGUCUUGCUUGCAAUUGUUGGUAUAAAGGAUCCUUGUCGGCCUGGGGUGGGAGAUGCAGUGCGACUAUGCCAAAAAGCUGGUGUUAAGGUAAUCAUGGUCACAGGUGACAAUCUUCAAACUGCGAAAGCGAUUGCUAUGGAAUGUGGCAUACUUGCUCCAGAUUCAGAUGCUACCCAGCCAACUCUCAUUGAAGGAACAGCUUUCCGUGAACUUUCAGAUAAGCAGAGAGAAGAUUGUGCUGAAAAGAUUUCGGUGAUGGGGCGGUCUUCCCACAAUGACAAGCUUCUGCUUGUGCAAGCAUUGAGGAGAAGGGGUCAUGUUGUUGCUGUAACUGGAGAUGGCACUAAUGAUGCUCCUGCACUGCGCGAGGCUGACAUUGGUCUUGCAAUGGGUAUUCAAGGGACUGAAGUUGCCAAAGAGAAUUCAGAUAUCAUUAUCUUGGACGAUAAUUUUGCUUCAGUUGUGAAGGUUGUUAGAUGGGGUCGAUCUAUAUACGAAGGUAUUCAGAAAUUCACCCAAUUCCAUCUUACUACACUCAAUGUUGCAGCAGUAACUAUAAAUGCCGUGGCAGCCAUUUCAUCUGGUGAUGUACCGCUAAAUGCUGUUCAGGUUCUGUGGGUGAAUCUUAUCAUGGAUACUGUUGGAGUACUAGCAUUGGCUACGGAGCCACCUACAGAUCACUUGAUGGACAGACCCCCUGUUGGUCAAAGAGAGCCGCUCAUAACAAAUAUAAUGUGGAGGAACUUGUUGGUUCAGGCUUUCUACCAAGUCACUGUCCUACUUGUCCUCAACUUCCGAGGAAUAAGUAUACUGAAGCUACAUGGUCCCAAUGCUAACACAGUGAAAAAUACUCUGAUAUUCAAUACAUUUGUCCUAUGUCAAAUUUUCAAUGAAUUCAUUGCUCAAAAUCCUGAUGAGUUCAAUAUAUUCAAAGGGAUCACCAAGAACUACCUUUUUAUAGGAAUAGUGACAGUAACUCUUGUACUUCAGAUUAUCAUCGUCGAGUUCCUUGGGAAAUUCACUAAAACAAAACCACUUAAUUGGAAUCUUUGGCUGAUUUCAGCUGUAAUAGCUUUUAUCAGUUGGCCUCUUGCUGUUCUUGGGAAACUGAUUCCGGUUCCAGAAACCCCUCUCUUCAAGAAUUUUACAAGAAUGAUCCCUGGGCGAAGAAACAGUCCAGAGGCUGCAUAUCUUUUCAAGGAAGCUGCAGAUCAACAAGUGAAUGGGAUUGUAGUACCGAAACCAAGUCCUACUGGCGAUUUUCCCAUUGGACAAGAGGAACUAGUUUCAGUGACGAGGGAUCAUAAAUUUGCUGCUCUUCAACAAUAUGGGGGGGUCACAGGCUUAGGGGACUUGUUGAAAACAAAUCUCGACAAGGGAAUUCAUGGAGAUGAUAUUGAUUUACUAAAACGGAAAAAUGCAUUUGGGUCGAACACAUAUCCUCGGAAAAAAGCAAGAAGUUUCUGGAGAUUUCUUUGGGUAGCUUGUCAAGAUCUUACUCUGAUCAUAUUGAUGGUAGCUGCAAUGGCUUCUUUAGCGCUGGGUAUAAAAACAGAGGGUAUAGAGGAGGGAUGGUAUGAUGGAGGCAGCAUUGCUUUUGCACUUCUCCUUGUCAUUGUUGUCACAGCGGUUAGUGAUUACAGACAAUCUCUUAAGUUCCAGAAUCUAAAUGAGGAAAAGAGAAAUAUACAUUUGGAGGUCAUUAGAGGUGGUAGACGUGUUGAGGUCUCAAUUUAUGAUCUUGUUGUUGGUGAUGUUGCACCCCUUAACAUCGGCGAUCAGGUCCCUGCUGAUGGCAUUUUAAUAACUGGACACUCACUUGCCAUAGAUGAGUCUAGUAUGACUGGAGAGAGCAAGAUUGUACGCAAGGACUCCAAAAAUCCAUUUCUAAUGUCAGGCUGCAAAGUAGCAGAUGGAAAUGGUAGCAUGCUGGUAACCAGUGUUGGGACUAAUACUGAAUGGGGAAUGCUCAUGGCUAGUAUUUCAGAAGAUACUGGUGAGGAAACUCCUUUGCAGGUGCGCUUAAACGGGGUUGCAACUUUCAUUGGUAUUGUUGGACUCACAGUGGCUUUACUUGUCUUGAUAGUCCUGUUGGUUAGAUACUUUACUGGCCAUACAAAAAAUGCAAAUGGAAGCCCUCAGUUUAAAGCGGGAAAGACAAAAUUUGGAGAUGCCAUAGAUGGAGCCAUUAAAAUUGUUACUAUUGCGGUCACCAUUGUGGUGGUUGCUGUUCCUGAAGGGCUCCCAUUAGCUGUUACCUUGACGCUUGCCUACUCGAUGAGAAAAAUGAUGGCAGAUAAGGCCUUGGUGCGGAGGCUGUCUGCAUGUGAAACCAUGGGCUCUGCAACUACCAUAUGCAGCGACAAGACUGGAACCUUAACAUUGAACCAGAUGACUGUUGUUGAGGCUUUUACUGGUGGGAGGAAAAUCGAUCUCUCUGGCAGUAAGUCAGACGUGUCUCCAAUACUAUCAUCUUUUGCUUAUUGAAGGCAUUGCGUUGAAUACAAAUGGCAGUGUCUAUACGCCUGAGACUGGCGGUGAUAUAGAGGUUUCUGGAUCACCAACUGAAAAGGCAAUUCUGCAAUUGGGAAUCAAGCUCGGAAUGAAUUUUGAUGCCAUCAGGUCCAAGUCUUCAAUUCUUCACGUGUUCCCAUUCAACUCAGAGAAAAAAACGAGGCGGUGCUGCAGUUAAAUUGCCCAAUACCGAAGUUCAUAUUCAAUGGAAAGGGGCUGCUGAAAUAGUCUUGGCCUGUUGUACAAAGUACCUGGAUCCUAAUGACCAGUUAGUAGCUAUGGAUGAAGACAAGUCAACCAUGUUCAGGAAGUCAAUUGAGGAUAUGGCUGCUCGCAGUUUGCGUUGUGUUGCCAUUGCUUAUAGACCACAUGAAUUGGAAAAUGUUCCAGCUGAUGAACAACUAUCUGAGUGGGCAUUGCCUGAUGAUGACCUUGUCUUGCUUGCUAUUGUUGGUAUAAAGGAUCCUUGUCGGCCUGGGGUGGGAGAUGCAGUGCGACUAUGCCAAAAAGCUGGUGUUAAGGUACGCAUGGUCACAGGUGACAAUCUUCAAACUGCGAAAGCGAUUGCUAUGGAAUGUGGCAUACUUGCUCCAGAUUCAGAUGCUAACCAGCCAACUCUCAUUGAAGGAACAGCUUUCCGUGAACUUUCAGAUAAGCAGAGAGAAGAUUGUGCUGAAAAGAUUUCGGUGAUGGGGCGGUCUUCCCCCAAUGACAAGCUUCUGCUUGUGCAAGCAUUGAGGAGAAGGGGUCAUGUUGUUGCUGUAACUGGAGAUGGCACUAAUGAUGCUCCUGCACUGCACGAGGCUGACAUCGGUCUUGCAAUGGGUAUUCAAGGGACUGAAGUUGCCAAAGAGAGUUCAGAUAUCAUUAUCUUGGACGAUAAUUUUGCUUCAGUUGUGAAGGUUGUUAGAUGGGGUCGAUCUGUAUAUGCAAAUAUUCAGAAAUUCAUCCAAUUCCAGCUUACAGUAAAUGUAGCAGCACUAAUUAUAAAUGUCGUCGCAGCCAUUUCAUCUGGUGAUGUACCGCUAAAUGCUGUUCAGCUUCUGUGGGUGAAUCUUAUCAUGGAUACUCUUGGAGCACUAGCAUUAGCUACGGAGCCACCUACAGAUCACUUGAUGGACAGACCCCCUGUUGGUCGAAGAGAGCCGCUCAUAACAAAUAUAAUGUGGAGGAACUUGUUGGUUCAGGCUUUCUACCAAGUCACUGUCCUACUUGUCUUCAACUUCCGAGGAAUAAGUAUACUGAAGCUACAUGGUCCCAAUGCUAACACAGUGAAGAAUACUCUGAUAUUCAAUACAUUUGUCCUAUGUCAGAUUUUCAAUGAAUUCAAUGCUCGAAAGCCUGAUGAGUUCAAUAUAUUCAAAGGGAUCACCAAGAACUACCUUUUUAUAGGAAUAGUGACAGUAACUCUUGUACUUCAGAUUAUCAUCGUCGAGUUCCUUGGGAAGUUCACUAAAACAAAACCACUUACUUGGAAUCUUUGGCUAAUUUCAGCUGUAAUAGCUUUUAUCAGUUGGCCUCUUGCUGUUCUCGGGAAGCUGAUUCCGGUUCCAGAAACUCCUCUCUUCAAGUAUUUUACAAGAAUGAUCCCUGGGCGAAGAAACAGUCCAGAGGGUAGUCGGUAGGAAGUGUGAAGAUAUACCGCACUUACAGCAGCUGGUUUCAUAGUUUUCUGGAUCUGCAUCAUUCUCUUUUUCGGUUUUUGGCUGUGACAGAUCAUAUUUCACAGAAUCCACAAACUAAUCUUUUGUUAAGUAGGGAAUGUACUUGCAGCGAUUCGGCUUUACAGAAGCCAUACUUGGUUUGGUCUCCACUGACCGGAAUUUUACUUGUGCAGUUUAUGUACUUAAAGACUGAUUUGGGGUUUUACAGUU
This is a non-coding RNA of Malus domestica (apple), 6787 nucleotides long. NCBI's taxonomy places the organism in Eukaryota, Viridiplantae, Streptophyta, Magnoliopsida, Rosales, Rosaceae. The record is from RefSeq and is a predicted model, not a curated record.